GGAUUUCCUGGAUACAAAGGAGAGAUGCAAAUGAAGCUAUUCCGACCGAUAGACAAGAAGUGGUGUCAUUACCGACCAAUAGACGAAUGUGAUGUCAUCAUAAGGCUCCACCUCUCUUUGUUUGGCAGAUGGUACCGUGAAUUCGGCAAUCAGACAUCUAUCCUGUACAUGGUGCAUGGUGUUUAGUCCUUUGCUUUACAUAAGUGUUUAGCACAUAGAAACAACUUCUAUAGUCUACAUUUGCACGUGCAUGUUUACCCACCAACAACCAGUCAACUAGAGAGCGAAUGUACUGGAUUCAGGUGCCAUGCGGUACGUGUAGCUGUACCUGACUUGUAACAUUUUGCUUGUUCCACAGUGUUUCUUCAUAGUGGUUUUGCAGUCUGACAGCUUGAAUUUUUGUUGUGUGUGGCUAAGCGGCUGUGGUUUUGCUGCAAAAAUCACUAUAGUGUUGUUUUCAACAGAAAUUUGGCACUCCACGGUAAUUUGCAAAGGGGAACGUGCAUUGUCCAUGACAGUGUGUCUGUUUGUCGGACGAAGCGACUGACCUGUAAGUACGCAAGUCUGGAGACGCUUUGCACCUUUGUUUAGCUAAACGAAUGCAUUGGAAACUUUAACUGAGACGUCUGGGUUGGGCUAAACCUCAGUAUGCAAAACAUUAUCACAUGACAGCAUAUGUGAUUACAUACACCAGCCGAGGGUUUAGCACUGUAAUGUGCUUCUCUAUUCAUUAAUGUUUGUAUUGCUGUUGUUUGGAACUGAAAAGGGAGAUUUGUGGACGAGUGAAGGUGGAUGGAUAGUUUUACUUGAGAGAAAGUCUUGUUUCUUGAAAUGACAAACUUGCAAGUAAUAUCCAAUAGAAAUACUUAUUUUAGUAUUUGUUUGUGUUUUAGAAAGGUUCACAAGGUUUGCAAGGCAUUCCUGGAUUAACUCCACUUUCUGAAAUAAAGAAACUUGAACGUUUGGUGACAAAAUUAUACAAUGAACUGAAGGUUUCUCGAGUUUCAUAUGGUGAUGAAGUUGGUACAUGCAACAUUAGCACGUUAGGUGAUUUGUUCUACCACAAUUCUAAUAAAUCUUUGCUAUUUUGUGAUUCUGAGAAGUGGGUUGAGAUAACAUGGAAACUAUACCUAACUUGUUCUGUAAUUAAGAUCAACUCUAUUCAGUUUGUGCAGAAGGUCCACUCUCUCCCACCUGUAAAGGUUUAUUGUGAUUAUUCUGUGAUCUCUAGUGGAUGUGCACUUGUGUGGAAACACUCAUAUUUGCAAGUUGGAAAUCCAACUGAUGACAUGCGUACUUUCAGUUCAGUUGAUCGUCCAUGUACUGAUCUGUCUGAUGGUUGGUGUAAUGUGGGUAACAAGGAUAAUGUUCCUGGUAAUGUUCAAUUGACAGUUGCUUAUCACGAAGGACAAGUUGCGUAUGCAUAUGGUGGUGAUCGUAAUUCUGAACUGGGAAAGUCAUGGCGUGGAGCAAUACUCAACAAUCCAGUCAAAAUUACAGAUCGUUGCAGAACUGGAAUGGGAUUCCUCCAGAGCCAAAUAUUGCUUCAUCUGGAAUACCAGGAUUGACAUUUGACAAAUGGAAGCCUGGUGUAUACGACCAAAACUGUGAUACAGAUAGAUACAAGACUAUGUAUGACUGUCGUUGGGAGAAUUGUCAGUUACCUUCAUCUAUCUCAUCCAAAACAAAUCAUGUACAAAUGACAGUUGCUAUAUUUCUUUGUUGACUUUGCACACAGCACUCUAUGGGGUAGUUGCAUGUUGAUCUUGUUUGCAUUGUAUGAAAUGUAACAUCUAGUAUUGUGAACCUUGGGCUUUCUUGUCAGGACUUCACAGCAUCAUUUUUGUUGUGUUUCUGAUUUCCAACCAUAAAAGUUUAUUACGUGAAAAUUACAAAAACAAAUUGUUUUUGUAUUGCGUUGUAGCUUAUAUUGUAAUGGUAAUAUAAUAUUUGAUAGCUAUUUUAUUUGAGCAAGUAGAAUAGAGUUUGAAUAAAGUAUGUAGUGAGGACAAAUAAGUGAUUGCAACCGAACUUUGACCAACUGGCAACUGCUUCCUUCU
Corticium candelabrum is the source of this 2060-nucleotide long non-coding RNA. RefSeq lists it as uncharacterized. The record is from RefSeq and is a predicted model, not a curated record. NCBI's taxonomy places the organism in Eukaryota, Metazoa, Porifera, Homoscleromorpha, Homosclerophorida, Plakinidae. The transcript has 5 exons.